Molecule: long non-coding RNA, 5255 nt
Organism: Bicyclus anynana (squinting bush brown)
Lineage: Eukaryota; Metazoa; Arthropoda; Insecta; Lepidoptera; Nymphalidae
Exons: 9
Source: RefSeq, a predicted model, not a curated record
ACUUUAAGUUUUAGAUAAUAAUAAAAUACUUUAAUAAUAGCUAUUGAUCUGAUAAUGAUUACAUUAGUUAGUUAAUUAGGUUUCUUAGUAGUCUUCUCAAGAUAUGGGAAUUAUUAAAAUCCUACUAAUUCUUAUGAAACUCGUGCUCAAUUAUACAAUUAUGCUGGGUUUACACAUUAUGGUUUGUAGAUGCAAUGCACCCCAAAUAACUGUCUGACCUGCAGCUGUCUGAAUGUUUACUUCUCUGGAUCUACUAAACAGAUUUUCAUUUGGUUAUCACAGGUAGCUUAAUCUGGAGCAACAUAAGGUUAAUUAUGAAAUGGUAAUGAAAAUAAACAUCUGAAAAAAGCAAAUUCCAUGAACUAAUUUGAAAGUAUCUGUUACCAGAAGUAAAUUUUUUACUAUACCACUGUUCAAUAUUAAACCACAGGUAUAUGUACUAAAGGCAGUAAUGUCCAGAUAAUCAAUGAUUAGACUAUUGGACUUUUAGAAUAAAUUUUACAUUGAACUAUGAAUGGUUUGUCAUCUACAUUUUUAAAAAAGAUGAGAUGUUUUACCUGUAAGAAGAAGAGAGAGAGAGAGAAUAAGAAGGUAAGUUAAACACCUACUGUAAAAUGCACACUGCUCCAAUGUGGGUUGAUAGGCUUGGGGUAAUAAAGUUAAAUUAUAAAAGGAUCACUAUCAGGUGUUAAUGAUAAUGACUGGGAUAUAUAGCAUAUCAUACUCUCUGAGAUAUAGGGAUAUAACACCAGCAACAGCUCUCCAGUGAUGCAGUAGAUAGCAUCAUUGCUCUUUGCAUCUACACGCCACAGCCAGUUGUGGCAAUUGAACUCAUCAUAUUAGUGUGAUGAGCAUGGAUGUAUUUCAGUGUCUAUGUGGUUGUGAGUGUAUGCCCAUGUUAAAUAAUAAGUAAUGGCCCAAAUAAUAAGUAGCCUAUAUGUUGCUGAAUAAUCUUCUCUAUCUUCCAGUAAAAGUCCCAUUAAAAUGACCCUGCUGUUCCAGAGAUUAGCUCAAACAAACAGUCAGAUGAACAUUUUAAAGAAGUAUGACUGUAUGUCAGUAUUGUAUAUAGGCACUUGAGAAAACACAGUUAUUUUGAAAUCACAGACAUACACUUAAAUUUUAUUUAUAUGUAUUGGUGCUGUUCAUAAAUAUAGCAUCAGCUGAAAUAAACUAGGCAUAGUUAAGUUACAUUUUAUACAAGGUGCUCGGGACUAUUUCUCAUAAAGGUGUUGACAAGUCCACUUAUAGGAGCUACCUUAGCUACUAGUUUAUAUUGAGGAGAACUUUCCACCUAGAUGGGUUGUGACUGUAUUAGGGGUCUGGUGAUGAAGACGAAGGACAGUUAAGAGAACUCCUCAACGGUUCACAGUAGCUACCAUGUGUUGAUAAAUUUGUAUUGAUGAGAACUUUCCACCUAGAUGGGUUGUGACUGUAUUAGGGGUCUGGUAAUGAAGACGAAGGACGGUUAAGGGAACUCCUCGAUGGUUCACAGUAGUAAUUAGUUUGAUUCUAAGUCAGACGCAAUCCAUACCUUUGGCGCUAGAUCAAUAUCUAGGAUGAUUUCACUAAAAAUGGAAAAAUAAAAAUUUUUAAUAAAAGAAAUUCAACCAACUUCAAAAACAUAAAACAUACUGGCUAAACUAAAAAGCGAAAAAUAAUAUUAUACUAAGUUCAUAUCAUAUUAUGUUCUAACUGAUGAUCAGUUUGAAGGCUGUGCUAAACCGGUGUUGUUUUAAUUUAAGCUGUUACUGAAAGAACUACAUGAAAGAACACUGUCUGAAAAACCUAAAUAUUUAUGAUAUUCUUACAUGGCUUGAAUUAAUACAUCAUUGGGCUAGCACCACCUUCAAACUGAUCAUCAGUUAGAACAUAAUAUGAUAUAUAGAACUUAGUAUAAUGUUAUUUUUCGUUUUUUAGUUUAGUAAGUAUGUUUUUGAAGUCGGUUGACUUGUUUUUAUUAAAGUUUUUUAAUACACAUGUUCCUUAGACAUUUUAAAUUAAUUUUCCUUAUAGAACUUGGAGCUACCCUAGAGUUAUGGGAAAUACUCCCGAGCACCCUGUAGAUGCUACUUAAUCCUACUAAUCCUUCAUUCAUCAGUAUCGGUUGGUGGGCUUGGAGUUUAUAAACAAUCCUGCUUCUUCACAUGAAUUUUACCCGCAUGACGACGGUUUUUAAUAUAAAAAAUAUUUACACAAUGUCUCAAAAAGCAAUCAAAGCUUUGAAAAAUAAACAAUGUUCGCAGAAGUUCAGUACCAACAAACUCACAAAAAAUGAGCCCAAAUUUAGCAUUACUUGCAAGCCAGACUAAGAAAUUUCAAGAAGAUAAUUUAAAAGAAGACAAUAGAAUAAAAUAAUAUUAACACACAAUGCUUAGCAAAUAUAGCAUUAACAGAUGGAAACCAGGCAAUAGGUGUAGCAAAAUAGAAGAUGAAGGUCUAGCUGUGCCAGUCAGUGCUGAGCCACACAGUUGCUGCUGGCAUGUUUGCAAAAUAGCACAAGGUGUAGCAAAAUAAAAGAUGAAGGUCUAGCUGUGCCAGUCAGUGCUGAGCCACACAGUUGCUGCUGGCAUGUUUGCAAAAUAGCACAAGGUGUAGCAAAAUAGAAGAUGAAGGUCUAGCUGUGCCAGUCAAUGUUGAGCCACACAGUUGCUGCUGGCAUGUUUGCAAAAUAGCACAAGGUGUAGCAAAAUAGAAUAUGAAGGUCUAGCUGUGCCAGUCAGUGCUGAGCCACACAGUUGCUGCUGGCAUGUUUGCAAUAUAGCACAAGGUGCUGUAAAAUGAAGAUAUAUUGUUUAAUAUCAUGAGAUAGAAAUAAAAGAUGAAGAUCUAGCUGUACCCGUCCCGAGCCACACUACUGCAGCCACAUUGCUGCUGGCAUUUUUGCAAAAUAGCACAAGGUCACAACAAUUGAUGUAACAAAUAUAAUCAAUGGACCAGGCACCUGCACCAUGAUUCUUUGGAGUACUAAAAUUCGUCUCUUUAUGUUUAUACUUCUCAUAAUGAAAAAUGUCACAUUUUUAUGAAAGAAAUAAUGGAAUCAAAUAAUAAAUAAAACAAGCAUAUGCUGGAAGUCCUCAGAAACAGCUCCGACUUUGAUGAUUUUUUUAAAGUCAUGUUUUUUAUGUUAUUUAAAAUCAGAAAUGUUUUGAUGGACGAAAUUAUUUAAAUUGUUAAAAAAUAUCUAUGCUAUUUAUACAUAUUUUUUUUAAAUACAACCGACUUCAAAAAUACAAACUUAUGCAGAAAACUAACAAACGAAACAAAAUAUUAUAAUAUUUUCUAUCUAUUGAUCACUUUGAAGGCGGUGCCAAUUGUCCAAUUAAUGGGCCGACAAUUAGUUAUCUAUUGUUUUCCUAGCUAUAGGGUUCGAAUUGCUUUUUCAUAUCUUUAAAAGACUAUCUUCGGAAUGAACCCUUUAUAAUAAAAAAAGUAUUGUCAAAAUCGGACCACUCAAUAAAAAGUUAUACUUGGUUGUAUACUAAAAUUAAUGGUUAAACAAUCAAUCAUCCCCUGUUUUUGUAAUGUAAAACCAAGCAUAACUGUUAACAUGAGUAGUCCGAUUUUGAUAAUUCUUUUGAUUGAUCAUUCUUGAUUGUUUUAGUUUAAAACCAAGCAUGUCUUCGAAUUCCGAUUUGAAUAACUUUGUUUUAAAUAGAAAGGGUAUAUUCCGACAAUGGUCCCAAAUCAUUAUAAAUUUAAAAAAAACAAGAGAUGACUGGUUAUUUUCCCAUUAAUUGUAUUGUAAAAAUAUGCGUAACUUAUUACGAAGUGGUCCGAUUUCGUAAAUUCUUUAUAGAUUGUAAAGGUAUUUUGAUUGUAAAGCUCCCAUAUAAAUUUUUAAAAACAAUUCCAAUCCUAAAUGUGCGAUUGAUUGUUUUCUCAUUCAUUUUAAUGUAAAACCAAGCCUAACUUUUUAUUGGGUGGUUCGAUUUUGAUUAUUCUUUAUUUUAAUAGAAAGGGUAUAUUCCUAAGUCUCAUAAAAUGUUGGAAAACAAUUUCAAACCUAAUAGUAGGAAAAUAGAAGAUGAUUAAUUGUUUUCCCAUUUAUUGUAAUGUUAAACUAUGCGUAACUUUUUACUGAGUGGACCGAUUUUGAAAAUUCUUUACUUUUUGUAAAGGGUUUAUUUCGAAGUAGGUCCCAUAUAAAUUUCGGAAAACAAUUCGAAUCCUUAAGGUGGAAAAAAAUGGUACGAUUGAUUGCCUACCCAUUAAUUGUACAAUUGGCACCGGCUUCAGUAAUCAGUAGAUAGAAAAUAUUAUAAUGUUUUCUUCAGCUUAUUAGUUUACUGCAUAACUUUGUGUUUUUGGUAGUGUUUGUUUUUUAAUUAUUUAUUAUAUAAAUAGCAUAACUAUUGUUAAAUAGUAUAAAUCGUUCCAUCCUCACUCCAAAAGGUUUCUGAUUUCAAAUGAUAUGAAGAAACAAACUGAACAAAAAUAAUCAUCAAAAUCAGAGCUGUUUUUGAGGAGGUAGAGGGUAAAUGCUCUAUUGAUUCGCCUAAAAGUAAUAUUAUGUUAUCGCAUUAGGUUGUAAAGUUUGGCUAAUGAAAGUAGAGACUGAAAUUGCCCGCCAAAUUUAAAAAUCAUAUAAACAAAUUAAAAAAACAUGUGUUUUCAUAAUUUAUUUAGAUUAGUUUUUCUUUGUGAAUACAUUAUUACCUAUACUAUAAGUGUUAAACUCAGUUAUUCCAAUAUUUGCACUAUAAUUUUGAGAAUUUACUCAGAUUUUUUAAAAUUUGGCGGGUGGUUUCAGUUUCUACUUUCAUUAGCCAAAUUCUAAUAAUUUUAUUGUUUAUGAAAUUUAUACUAAUUAGAAAGAGGAAGAAUUUGAUUAUUUGUUUGUUUGCAUUGAAUAGGCUGUGAAACUACUUUGCUGAUUUAAAAAUUUCUUACACCAUUAUAAUCAUGGAUUAGGCCAUAAUUGUUAUCUCUGUAUUCCCACGGGAACGAGAACUACGCUGGUGAAACUGCGUGACGUUUGCAUAGUUUAUCAUAUGUACAAAUAUCCCGACAAUCUAUAUUUUUAUGUAUGAAUUGGUUACGUUAUAAUUGACUUGAUUUUCCAAAAUAUCUUAGUGAAGUCACCCAAUUGAUGCAUAGAUAUAUUUUUAUUUUGGUUUUCAUUUUACUUUAAAGAUAAAAUUUAGUUUUAGAAGCAAAAUGAAUAUAUUUAGAUUACAUUUUAGGUGCUGAUGUUUACUUAGUUAUUGAUUAAGUGCAUAAGAUUUUUUAUUUGAUAAUAAAGACAUUUCAAC